UACAGAGGGGGCAAGCGUUGUUCGGAAUUACUGGGCGUAAAGGGCGCGUAGGCGGCCCGCUAAGUCGAACGUGAAAUCCCUGGGCUUAACCCAGGAACUGCGUCCGAUACUGGCAGGCUUGAAUCCGGGAGAGGGAUGCGGAAUUCCAGGUGUAGCGGUGAAAUGCGUAGAUAUCUGGAGGAACACCGGUGGCGAAGGCGGCAUCCUGGACCGGCAUUGACGCUGAGGCGCGAAAGCCAGGGGAGCAAACGGG
This 253-nucleotide ribosomal RNA is filed under the name uncultured bacterium. RNAcentral describes it as "partial 16S ribosomal RNA". It matches the Rfam family "Bacterial small subunit ribosomal RNA", at positions 524 to 776 of the family's 1533-position model. The record is from RNAcentral.